GAGGAUGCUUAAGAUGCAAAAGAUCCAAGAAGAAGAAGCCAAGCUCAAGCAGUCCCAGAAACAGCCCAUUCCUCUCAUUCCCAAAACCGCCAAUGCUUAGAAUUUUUCGAUCUUUUGGAAGCUUGGAAUUGAUGGGAUGGGUGGACGCUUUGAUGUUUGUUUCUGCUAUUGGUGGGAUACAUUUAGGAGUGUUUCAGGAGAUGACUGUAACAGACUCCAAAUAUUUUCUUCUCUAAUCUCUAUCACUUGUUUGACCGUGUUUCAAGCGGUGGAAUAAGAAUAAAAUUCCUCAUGAAGAUUGAUUUUAUCCAAGAUAAAAUAUCAUGUUUCUUCUACCUCUUCAACACCCUCCAAAAUCUAUUGUGAAGAAAUUAAAGAAUAUAGGGCUUUUUUUUUUCUUUUCUUUUUUGGGUAUUUCGUGAUUUGCUCUAUUUUAUGGCUUGCGUUUUGAUGUUGAAAAUUUUAGAUGCCUGGUACUGAUUGUCUUAAACUCAGUGUAUAGGAGGGGUGUAGAUUUUUUAGCAUGUGCCGUCAAUCAACCCAAACAAUGGUAUUACAUCCAGUUUAGAGAUAUAACCCAUUAGUUGCAUUCUUUAAAGCAGGGGUACGUUUCAAAUUGUAUAUGGUAGGUCAGAUGCUGGAAAUUUGUUUCUUUCUGCAAUGAUGCUAUGGAACAUUAGUAGUGUGGGUUUAACUAGUGCUAGAAUCUCAUAAUCCACGCCCAAGAAACAUUGUUGUGCGAGAGAAAAAAAUCCUGUCUUCAUGAAUGAAUGAAUGGAAAAUCACUUCCUUUUCUGCUGGGUGCGAGCUGUUUUCUGGUUGCAAGCCUCUGCAUUUCAUUGAAGGUAUGAACAACGCCCCAACCGAUGAUUAAAAAGCUAGCUCUGAAACAAAAUGCAUCCAAGUCCACCCGUCAGUGUGCAUUUGAACAGAGACAGGCGGCUCACAUGAGUAAACAAACAACAGGAUUUCAGGGAGAACUUUUCAUUUUUGACAUAAAAUCUGUGUUUGACUGAAAAAGAGAAUUGUUUUCUGGUUUUGAGAACCGAAAAAAUCGAAUAGGUAUUUGACAAUAUGCCAUUGAAAACAGGGUUGCAAAUCCUUUAUUAAUUGUAAAAUCAAUGUUAUGCUAUGUUGUUGCCAUUUUGACAUAAACUUUGUGAGGGAUCGAACGUGCUUUUACAUUCUCUUCUAUAAAUAUUUUUGGAUGUCAUUGAUAUAUUGAGAAGUUUAGUUGAGAUUUAGUUACCCAUUAUACAAUUUGUAACUGCUGAUGAAAAGAAAUUCAUGCAUGGAUCCUAACCUUAUAGUUUGAAAGUAGUUCAAGGAAACGAUGAAGGUGUGUGGGAGCAAAUAAUGUAUCUUGUAAAGAGCACCACUUUUUAUUUAAUCAUUUUGACAUCACCUAAAUCCUCUUACCAGCCUCUCAUCAUUAUGGCAUUUAAACCUUCUGUAUUUAUUACUUUCUAUCCACAAACACACAUUCUGAAAGGUGAAAUGGAGCUGGAACCUCCUUUGCAUAAUGAUCAGCAGAAGCUCUCUGAGAAGAGGUUGUUGGGAAAAGUUGCAAUUAUAACUGGGGGUGCAAGAGGGAUUGGAGCAGCCACAGCAAAAUUGUUUGCUAGGCAUGGUGCCCAUGUUAUCAUAGCUGAUGUACUCGAUCACUUGGGGUUCACUCUUGCCGAUUCAAUAGGCGGCCGCUAUAUACACUGCGACGUGGCCAAGGAAGAUGACAUGGAGUCAGCUGUUCAGCUGGCACUCACAUGGAAAGGCCAACUAGAUAUCAUGUUCAACAAUGCCGGCAUUGGAGGGCUGGAUGGCAGCGUCACCAACAUUGACAUGACCAAGAUGAAGGCCCUUCUUGCAGUUAAUGUGAACGGCAACAUACAUGGAAUCAAACAUGCGGCACGGGCCAUGAUCAGAGGGCGAAAAGGAGGGUGCAUCAUAUGCACCUCCAGCUCUGCAGCCAUCAUGGGAGGCCUAGCAUCACACGGCUACACAUUGUCCAAAGAGGCUAUUGUCGGACUCAUGAGAAGCACCGCUUGUGAGUUGGGGGUGCAUGGAAUCCGCGUUAAUUGCAUUUCGCCACAUGGGGUCCCUACAGAGAUGCUUGUGAGUGGGUACCGAAAGAUCCUGGGAAAAGCGGAUGUGACGCCUGAAGAAGUGAGUCGAAUUGUGGGGAAGAGAGGGAGCCUGCUGCGUGGGAGGGGUGGGAGUGUGGAAGACAUUGCACAGGCCGCGCUGUUUUUGGCCAGCGAAGAUGCGGGCUUCAUAACAGCACACAAUCUUGUCCUUGAUGGGGGUUUUACUUCUGCUUGCAGCGACAUGAGUUUCAUCUACCAAGAACCGACUUGAGUUUGAUAUACCAAGAACAACGAUCAGUCAAGCAUGCAGAGGGGGAAAGAGAACAGAGUAAAGCAAACGGCUACCAUGGACAAUCCUUACUAAUUCAUACAGAGAUCAAAAGGAUGUAUCUAAUCUUAUAUGCUAAAUUUAUUUCUCAAAUGGCUAAGUACAUAUCCUAAUUCCUUCA
Molecule: long non-coding RNA, 2533 nt
Organism: Vitis vinifera (wine grape)
Lineage: Eukaryota; Viridiplantae; Streptophyta; Magnoliopsida; Vitales; Vitaceae
Product: short-chain dehydrogenase reductase ATA1
Exons: 3
Source: RefSeq, a predicted model, not a curated record